UUGAUUCAUUUGUUUUUUCACUCAGAAGAUUCCAAAAAAUACAAGAGUUUGUGGUCCCCGGCGGGCGCCUGGUUCCGAGCACGAAGGCCCGGGGCGGUCCCGCCGAAGCAACGAUAGGUAUGUUCACAGGGGUUUGGGAGUUGUAAACUCGGUAAUGAUCCCUCCGCUGGUUCACCAACGGAGA
This 184-nucleotide unclassified non-coding RNA is filed under the name uncultured fungus. RNAcentral's name for it is "sequence contains ITS1". Lineage: Eukaryota; Fungi. The record is from RNAcentral.